Molecule: ribosomal RNA, 2923 nt
Filed under: Lactiplantibacillus plantarum subsp. plantarum
Lineage: Bacteria; Bacillati; Bacillota; Bacilli; Lactobacillales; Lactobacillaceae
Description: bacterial LSU rRNA
Rfam family: Bacterial large subunit ribosomal RNA
Source: RNAcentral
AGGUUAAGUUAACAAGGGCGCAUGGUGAAUGCCUUGGCACUAGGAGCCGAUGAAGGACGGGACUAACACCGAUAUGCUUCGGGGAGCUGUACGUAAGCUAUGAUCCGGAGAUUUCCGAAUGGGGCAACCCAGCAGUUUUAAUCAACUGUUACCACUAGAUGAAUUCAUAGUCUAGUUGGAGGUAAACGCUGUGAACUGAAACAUCUCAUUAGCAGCAGGAAUAUAAAGAAAUUUCGAUUCCCUAAGUAGCGGCGAGCGAACGGGGAACAGCCCAAACCAAAGUGCUUGCACUUUGGGGUUGUAGGACUGAACAUUUGAGUUACCAAAGAACUUGAUAGUCGAAGGAUUUGGGAAAAUCCGCCAUAGAUGGUGAUAGCCCAGUAGAUUAAAUCAAAUUCUCUCAGUUCAGGAUCCUGAGUACGGCGGAACACGUGAAAUUCCGUCGGAAUCCGGGAGGACCAUCUCCCAAGGCUAAAUACUACCUAGUGACCGAUAGUGAACCAGUACCGUGAGGGAAAGGUGAAAAGCACCCCGGGAGGGGAGUGAAAUAGUUCCUGAAACCAUGUGCCUACAAUAAGUCAGAGCGCGUUAAUGCGUGAUGGCGUGCCUUUUGUAGAAUGAACCGGCGAGUUAUGAUCCCGUGCAAGGUUAAGACUAAAAAGUCGGAGCCGUAGCGAAAGCGAGUCUGAAAUGGGCGUUUUGAGUACGAGGUUAUAGACCCGAAACCAGGUGACCUAUCCAUGUCCAGGUUGAAGGUGCGGUAAAACGCACUGGAGGACCGAACCCGUGUAAGUUGAAAAUUGCUGGGAUGAGGUGUGGAUAGCGGUGAAAUUCCAAACGAACUUGGAGAUAGCUGGUUCUCUCCGAAAUAGCUUUAGGGCUAGCCUCGGAAUUAGGAUCAUGGAGGUAGAGCACUAUUUGGACUAGGGGCCCGUCUUGGGUUACUGAAUUCAGAUAAACUCCGAAUGCCAUUGAUUCAUAUCCGGGAGUCAGACGAUGAGUGAUAAGAUCCACCGUCGAAAGGGGAACAGCCCAGACCAUCAGUUAAGGUCCCUAAAUGUAUGCUAAGUGGAAAAGGAUGUGGAGUUGCAUAGACAACUAGGAUGUUGGCUCAGAAGCAGCCACCAUUUAAAGAGUGCGUAAUAGCUCACUAGUCGAGUGAUCCUGCGCCGAAAAUGUACCGGGGCUAAGCAUACUACCGAAACCAUGGAUGCGACCAUUAGGUCGCGUGAUAGGAGAGCGUUCUAAGGGCGGUGAAGCAAGAUCGUGAGGACUUGUGGAGCGCUUAGAAGUGAGAAUGCCGGUAUGAGUAGCGAAAGAUAGGUGAGAAUCCUAUCCACCGAAUGACUAAGGUUUCCUGGGGAAGGCUCGUCCUCCCAGGGUUAGUCGGGACCUAAGUCGAGGCCGAGAGGCGUAGACGAUGGAUAACAGGUUGAGAUUCCUGUACUAGUUAGGUGCGUUUGAGCAAUGGAGGGACGCAGGAGGCUAAGAUGUGCAUUCUGUUGGAUUAGAAUGUCCAAGCAGUAAGUCUUGUGAAGAGUCAAAUGCUUUUCACUUUAAGGACAAGCUGUGAUGGGGAGCGAAAUUUAGUAGCGAAGCGUCUGAUGUCACACUGCCGAGAAAAGCUUCUAGUGAGUACUUAACUACCCGUACCGCAAACCGACACAGGUAGUCGAGGAGAGAAUCCUAAGGUGAGCGAGUGAACUCUCGUUAAGGAACUCGGCAAAAUGACCCCGUAACUUCGGGAGAAGGGGUGCUGAUCGCAAGAUCAGCCGCAGUGAAUAGGCCCAGGCGACUGUUUAUCAAAAACACAGGUCUCUGCAAAAUCGUAAGAUGACGUAUAGGGGCUGACGCCUGCCCGGUGCUGGAAGGUUAAAAGGAUGGGUUAGCUUCGGCGAAGCUCAGAAUUGAAGCCCCAGUAAACGGCGGCCGUAACUAUAACGGUCCUAAGGUAGCGAAAUUCCUUGUCGGGUAAGUUCCGACCCGCACGAAAGGCGUAACGAUCUGGGCACUGUCUCAACGAGAGACUCGGUGAAAUUAUAUUGUCCGUGAAGAUGCGGACUACCCGCGACAGGACGGAAAGACCCCAUGGAGCUUUACUGUAGCUUGAUAUUGAGUGUUUGUACAGCUUGUACAGGAUAGGUAGGAGCCAUAGAAACCGGAACGCUAGUUUCGGUGGAGGCGUUGGUGGGAUACUACCCUCGCUGUAUGACCACUCUAACCCGCACCACUAAUCGUGGUGGGAGACAGUGUCAGGUGGGCAGUUUGACUGGGGCGGUCGCCUCCUAAAAAGUAACGGAGGCGCCCAAAGGUUCCCUCAGAAUGGUUGGAAAUCAUUCGCAGAGUGUAAAGGCACAAGGGAGCUUGACUGCGAGACAGACAGGUCGAGCAGGGACGAAAGUCGGGCUUAGUGAUCCGGUGGUACCGUAUGGAAGGGCCAUCGCUCAACGGAUAAAAGCUACCCUGGGGAUAACAGGCUUAUCUCCCCCAAGAGUCCACAUCGACGGGGAGGUUUGGCACCUCGAUGUCGGCUCAUCGCAUCCUGGGGCUGUAGUCGGUCCCAAGGGUUGGGCUGUUCGCCCAUUAAAGCGGUACGCGAGCUGGGUUCAGAACGUCGUGAGACAGUUCGGUCCCUAUCCGUCGCGGGCGUAGGAAAUUUGAGAGGACCUGUCCUUAGUACGAGAGGACCGGGAUGGACAUACCUCUGGUGUACCAGUUGUGCCGCCAGGCGCAUCGCUGGGUAGCUACGUAUGGAUGUGAUAAACGCUGAAAGCAUCUAAGUGUGAAACACACCUCGAGAUGAGAUUUCCCAUUCCUUUAUGGAAGUAAGACCCCUGAAAGAUGAUCAGGUAGAUAGGUUAGAAGUGGCAGUGCGGUGACGCAUGAAGCGGACUAAUACUAAUCGGUCGAGGACUUAACCAAG